AAAUUUUAGAUUAUCUACCUAAUAAAGCCUUGACAAGUUCAUUCAAGCCAGGAAUGGUCCUCAAAAGCAAUGUAUUCUAUGGCUGAUUUUUUUGGGGGCAUGCGAAGGUCUUGUGAAAUCCUUGCUCGGUUCUUCCUUCAGCUGGCACUUGCUCUUAUAUUGUGCAUACAGAAACUUGAUAUGUGACUGGCCUGAUUCUUGGACCAGAAAAUAAGCUUUGGCUGAGGUUUGCUAAGCCCACACAUGCUUGUAGUUGCUGUGAUGGAUUGUAUCAAAAUUAUUUAUU
Long non-coding RNA from Magnolia sinica, 286 nucleotides. RefSeq lists it as uncharacterized. Lineage: Eukaryota; Viridiplantae; Streptophyta; Magnoliopsida; Magnoliales; Magnoliaceae. The record is from RefSeq and is a predicted model, not a curated record. The transcript has 2 exons.